Brassica oleracea var. oleracea is the source of this 986-nucleotide long non-coding RNA. RefSeq lists it as uncharacterized. NCBI's taxonomy places the organism in Eukaryota, Viridiplantae, Streptophyta, Magnoliopsida, Brassicales, Brassicaceae. The transcript is spliced from 5 exons. The record is from RefSeq and is a predicted model, not a curated record.
UCCAUAUUACGAGCUAAUAAAGGGCCGAUGGAGCACUCGAGGAUUCCACCACCGUUGGUUUCGCUAAGGCCAACAGUGAAAUCAAGGAUUUAUAUAUUGCGAUCGGCAAGGCAGCAAAUUAUAUCGAAUCUCCUCCCAAAGAACGUCAUGUUCGCAAGAUAUUCUCGGCGACAUCUGUAAUACAACCACAAGCAGAUGGUGUUUACAACAUCCCUGCAUUGUCAAAGAGAUUAUCCAAAACUCGCACUUGGGUUAUAAGUUUAUUUCUUUCUUUGUAAGCAAUGAAGGUGUUGAUAAUCAUUCACAGAACGUUAAGAGAGAACUUUAAGAGAUGGUGAUCCUAUAUUCAUAGAAGAUCUUUUAAAUUACACUCACGGAAGACACAUUCUCAAGAUUUCUAAACUCAAACUUCAAAGACGAUACAUGCCCUCUUGCCUGGGAUUGCUCUGCUUGGGAUAGAACUUACACGCUCUUUCUCGAAGAGCGGCAUGAAUGUUAUUAUGUUUUAAAGUAUGAUAUAGAGGCAGAGCCUUUGGCAGGAGCUUAAGGUGCAGCUUCCAAGGUGAUAACAAUCCCGGAUAUGAUAUACAUGGAGCGUUUAUGUUGAUCACACUAUUAUAUGGUUCAUGCACAGGGGAUGAUAACAAUCGUGAAUAUGAUAGACCUGAAGCUAGGGCUGUUUCAUCUAAACCUUUGAAAAGAUUGUCCAAAAUAGUCCCAGCUACCUGUGCUGGGAUGGCUUCUUCUUGAGAUGCAGAAAUAUCAACAGCCUCUAACAGUCUCAUCCGUGUUGAACCUGUGCAUGGUGCAGAUGUUCAGGAGGAAGGGCGCAAUGGCAAAAAGCCACGCAAUGCUUAGCUUCCCAACUUAGGAAUGGGCAAGACCAAAGCUGACAACUGCUCAUCCAUAGGUUUUUUUAUCUACUCUUACGCUAAAAGAAAAUUGACUAGGAUUAAGUUUUGUUCUUGAAUCAUGUCAUUGUUGGU